GGAGGGCUGGCCGAGUGGUCGAUGGCGGCUGACUUGAAAUCAGUUGUGGGGUGACCCACCAGGGGUUCGAAUCCUCUGCCCUCCGCCA
Molecule: transfer RNA, 88 nt
Filed under: Synergistaceae bacterium
Lineage: Bacteria; Thermotogati; Synergistota; Synergistia; Synergistales; Synergistaceae
Also listed under: 1 other name
Description: tRNA-Ser
Rfam family: tRNA
About the family: Transfer RNA (tRNA) molecules are approximately 80 nucleotides in length. Their secondary structure includes four short double-helical elements and three loops (D, anti-codon, and T loops).
Source: RNAcentral